GGGCUUGUGAGGUAGCUAGGAUAUCCUGUUGGCCUUCGGAGCCGAUUACCCGGGUUCGAAUCCCGGCGAGCCCA
This 74-nucleotide transfer RNA is filed under the name uncultured archaeon. RNAcentral's name for it is "tRNA-Arg". It matches the Rfam family "tRNA". From Rfam's summary of the family: Transfer RNA (tRNA) molecules are approximately 80 nucleotides in length. The record is from RNAcentral.